UCCUUAGUGGUGUAACGGCUAACAUCGCUGUCUUUCAAGACCUGUGAAUGACCACAGCAGCUCGGGGUUCGACUCCCCGCUAAGGAG
Non-coding RNA from Ascosphaera atra, 87 nucleotides. Lineage: Eukaryota; Fungi; Ascomycota; Eurotiomycetes; Onygenales; Ascosphaeraceae. The record is from the annotation of a GenBank genome assembly.